Molecule: unclassified non-coding RNA, 936 nt
Filed under: Hevea brasiliensis (rubber tree)
Lineage: Eukaryota; Viridiplantae; Streptophyta; Magnoliopsida; Malpighiales; Euphorbiaceae
Source: RNAcentral
CCAUCUUUAUGUUACUGAUAUCAGGUUCUUUGAUAAGAUCAAUUUAUUUCAGCCAUCUUAGAGCUUUUUUAUGUUUAUUAGUUUUCUAGCCUUGGUGAAAAAGCAUCAUCUUUGUAUGUGGAGAAUGGCAAUUUAAUUCAACAACAAGCACACAGAUACAUGUGCACAGUGCACACUUAUGUUGAUGUGCAUGUUUGUUCUUGAAAGCUCAACCACACUAUUUGAUUUCAUAUCCAAUAGUUGACCACUUAGUUUUAAGUGGAGUCCUUUAACUGAAAAUCUGGCUACAGAAUUUGAAAUUUAAAGUUUAGUGCCUUAUAACUGCAUCCUAGAUAUAGAAUUUUAAAAGCUUAUAUUCUGAUAAUCUGUGACUGGUCAACCUAAGUAAUGCAGGCAAGUGUUACAUAUUGCAACUUUCAUCGUGGAGUUCUCCACAUGAUAGAGUCGAUGGCACCAGUGUAUUUAAGUUAGCAUAGGAGCAGUACAUGUGUUCCUUAGAUUUCAUUUUAGUAUCUAUAGGAAUUGAGUACCUUUGAAGCAUUUGUUAGAAGCACAGUGUAAAGCUCAAGUUCAAAUUUUACGGUGAUAAGUAACCAAUCAUUUGGCUGACAGUAUUAGUAUUCAGCUAUUCGGUACUUAGUAGAUGCUUCACUGUUGCUGUGUACUAGUUUUACCUCAAGCAAGUGAAUAUAUAUCAAGUGGUAUUAUGAUUCGUUCUCCAUUGUUAAUCAGCUCAUUAUCCUCUGAAAAUGGCCCUUAUUAAUGGAUAAGAGCAUUGGUAGUAAUCCUAGUUACAAUAUCUUUAUGAGAUUUGCAAGAGACAAGUUUGAGGGGUGAAUUCAGUAUAAUGAAUAGAUGCAUAGAAGGCAAUGAUGAAUUGAUUGAUGUGUGCCAUAAUAAGUGAGUUCUUUAUUACAUAGACAUAUAAACAUGUAG